ACUGGAGAGUUUGAUCCUGGCUCAGAACGAACGCUGGUGGCGUGCUUAACACAUGCAAGUCGAACGAGAAAGUUUCCUUCGGGAAACCAGUAAAGUGGCGCAAGGGUGAGUAUCACGUGAAUAAUCUGCCCUCGAGAUCGGGAUAACAUGGUGAAAACUAUGCUAAUACCGGAUAAGACCACAUUUCAUAAGAAAUGCGGUAAAAGGAGUCUCAAUCUUCACUCGAGGAUGAGUUCGCGCAACAUUAGCUUGUUGGUGAGAUAAAAGCUCACCAAGGCUACGAUGUUUAGCCGGCCUGAGAGGGUGAUCGGCCACACUGGAACUGAGACACGGUCCAGACUCCUACGGGAGGCAGCAGUGGGGAAUAUUGCGCAAUGGGCGAAAGCCUGACGCAGCAACGCCGUGUGAGCGAUGAAGGCUUUAGAGUCGUAAAGCUCUGUCAAAUGGGAAGAAUUUUGACGGUACCAUUAGAGGAAGCCCCGGCUAACUCCGUGCCAGCAGCCGCGGUAAUACGGAGGGGGCAAGCGUUGUUCGGAAUUAUUGGGCGUAAAGAGUAUGUAGGCGGCU
This 567-nucleotide ribosomal RNA is filed under the name Nitrospinaceae bacterium. RNAcentral's name for it is "bacterial SSU rRNA". It matches the Rfam family "Bacterial small subunit ribosomal RNA", at positions 1 to 580 of the family's 1533-position model. Lineage: Bacteria; Pseudomonadati; Nitrospinota; Nitrospinia; Nitrospinales; Nitrospinaceae. The record is from RNAcentral.